UACGUAGGGUGCGAGCGUUAAUCGGAAUUACUGGGCGUAAAGCGCACGCAGGCAGUCUGUCAAGUCGGAUGUGAAAUCCCCGGGCUCAACCUGGGAACUGCAUCCGAAACUGGCAGGCUAGAGUCUUGUAGAGGGGGGUAGAAUUCCAGGUGUAGCGGUGAAAUGCGUAGAGAUCUGGAGGAAUACCGGUGGCGAAGGCGGCCCCUUGGGAAGAUACUGACGCUCAUGUGCGAAAGCGUGGGGAGCAAACAGG
RNAcentral lists this ribosomal RNA (253 nucleotides) under uncultured bacterium. Its description in RNAcentral is "partial 16S ribosomal RNA". It matches the Rfam family "Bacterial small subunit ribosomal RNA", at positions 524 to 776 of the family's 1533-position model. The record is from RNAcentral.